CUUUAAUGUACAAAAGCUCCUAGAGAUAGCAAGAAAGGAAAUUUCCUACACUGAUGUUCCAUUAUGCUUCUUUCAGCUAUCUCUGUUUCAGCCCAUCUGAAUGUAGACAUUCCCAGCUUCUGAAGAACUCUCAGUCUAAAUACAGCGUAUGGGUUUCUUUUCAGAAACAAAAUGCCAAUCAUAUGAAAGUGAAAGCAAUUCAUGAACCUGAAGUCCUCUUCAUUUCUGCAUUUGUUCUCUGGUACUUGGAGGGAAUCAGAUUCUGUACAUGUUCCACUCUCAUGCACUAUAAACUGCACAUGUAGAUUAACUAUAAUUUUGGAAGCAUCUGUCUCACUGGUUUGGGCAGACAGGUGAGAUGGAAUUCAAUUCAUCUAAGUGCUAAGUGCCUUUUCCAAGUUACACUUGUAGGCUGUCUCUAUGGUCACUGGAAACACAUAGACACUGACAAAUGUCAACUCAAUCUCCCUUAAGAUACGACUAACAGAGAGUAGAUGAAAUAUGAGUGGGAAGUUCUGGAUAUCUUUUCAUUAUAUUUCAUUUUAUGAAAUUCACUAUAGAGAAUCUACACAACAAGCUUAGAGUUAAUUUCUAACUUCUAAAUAGCUAAUGGAAGCUAAAAGAACUUCACCUGCUCACUUGUUUGAACUACUUUAUCUUCAUCGCUCACUAAGUCCUCUUUUAUAAAUCUGAAGACCUCCUGCACAUACUCCUGCUACCACAGUCUUCUUUGAAGCAAUGUCUAAAUUUUAAAAUGUAAUCAAAAUAGGUUUAAAACACAUCCACAGCAAUUAGCAGUAUUAUCUUAAUUGCUAUGUGGUAUGAUUUAUGCAUCAAAAUCUAUUAUGCAACUUUGAAAAAUCUUUCUUGUCACCUAUGCAGUAGUUAUAAACAAAGAAUAUCUUCUAAUUCAGGCCCUCUGUCAUUUAAGAGGACAGACACAGUGAUGCUCUAUGGACCCAUGAAUUUCAAUUAAUUCUUCUGCAAUUUACAUAUAUAAUUGAACAGCUUGGCUUCAUUGUCCAAGCAUUCUCAUCAGUGUUUGCGAUUAUGCUGAGCUCCUUUUACAAAGCUGCAUUCUCUUUGCAUACAUUUCAAAAGGAAUAUCUCGUAGAAGAAGAUUCUGCUCCUUCAACUUCUCCUGUUCUCAUUCUCUGUCUUCGUUUUUCUGAGCCUCUGUGAUAUUUGAAGUCUUCAUGCUUUCAUUUGCAUCCUCCUGAGAAGAUCCUACAGUGAGAGGCUAGAAGGAAGAAUCGCUCAUGGCUUCUAACCACCCAGAAAGACAUUAAAAAUAAAAUCAUAUUUUUUUCAACUGCA
RNAcentral lists this long non-coding RNA (1317 nucleotides) under Numida meleagris (helmeted guineafowl). RNAcentral describes it as "lncRNA (ENSNMEG00000004579.1)". The record is from RNAcentral. Lineage: Eukaryota; Metazoa; Chordata; Aves; Galliformes; Numididae.